RNAcentral lists this ribosomal RNA (253 nucleotides) under uncultured bacterium. RNAcentral describes it as "partial 16S ribosomal RNA". It matches the Rfam family "Bacterial small subunit ribosomal RNA", at positions 524 to 776 of the family's 1533-position model. The record is from RNAcentral.
UACGUAGGGCGCAAGCGUUGUCCGGAAUUAUUGGGCGUAAAGAGCUCGUAGGCGGUCUGUUACGUCCGCUGUGAAAACCCAGGGCUUAACCCUGGGCUUGCAGUGGAUACGGGUAGACUAGAGGCAGGUAGGGGAGAAUGGAAUUCCCGGUGUAGCGGUGAAAUGCGUAGAGAUGUGGAGGAAUACCGAUGGCGAAGGCAGCCCCCUGGGAUAACACUGACGCUCAUGCACGAAAGCGUGGGGAGCAAACAGG